RNAcentral lists this ribosomal RNA (422 nucleotides) under uncultured bacterium. RNAcentral describes it as "bacterial SSU rRNA". It matches the Rfam family "Bacterial small subunit ribosomal RNA", at positions 495 to 917 of the family's 1533-position model. The record is from RNAcentral.
AUAUCGCGAGGUGUCAGCAGCCGCGGUAAUACGUAGGUGGCAAGCGUUGUCCGGAAUUACUGGGUGUAAAGGGAGCGUAGGCGGGGAGACAAGUUGAAUGUUUAAACUAUCGGCUCAACUGAUAGUCGCGUUCAAAACUAUCACUCUUGAGUGCAGUAGAGGUAGGCGGAAUUCCUAGUGUAGCGGUGAAAUGCGUAGAUAUUAGGAGGAACACCAGUGGCGAAGGCGGCCUACUGGGCUGUAACUGACGCUGAGGCUCGAAAGCGUGGGUAGCAAACAGGAUUAGAUACCCUGGUAGUCCACGCCGUAAACGAUGAUUACUAGGUGUGGGGGGACUGACCCCUUCCGUGCCGGAGUUAACACAAUAAGUAAUCCACCUGGGGAGUACGACCGCAAGGUUGAAACUCAAAUGAAUUGGCGGG